AGGGAUAUGGCUCAGUGGUAGAGUGCUUGCCUAUCAUGAACAAGGCCCAGGGUUCAAUCCCCAGUACCCCAA
Molecule: transfer RNA, 72 nt
Filed under: Ictidomys tridecemlineatus (thirteen-lined ground squirrel)
Lineage: Eukaryota; Metazoa; Chordata; Mammalia; Rodentia; Sciuridae
Description: Spermophilus tridecemlineatus (thirteen-lined ground squirrel) tRNA
Rfam family: tRNA
About the family: Transfer RNA (tRNA) molecules are approximately 80 nucleotides in length. Their secondary structure includes four short double-helical elements and three loops (D, anti-codon, and T loops).
Source: Rfam by way of RNAcentral